UUGAACGCUGGCGGCAGGCCUAACACAUGCAAGUCGAGCGGAUGAAGGGAGCUUGCUCCUGGAUUCAGCGGCGGACGGGUGAGUAAUGCCUAGGAAUCUGCCUGGUAGUGGGGGAUAACGUCCGGAAACGGGCGCUAAUACCGCAUACGUCCUGAGGGAGAAAGUGGGGGAUCUUCGGACCUCACGCUAUCAGAUGAGCCUAGGUCGGAUUAGCUAGUUGGUGGGGUAAAGGCCUACCAAGGCGACGAUCCGUAACUGGUCUGAGAGGAUGAUCAGUCACACUGGAACUGAGACACGGUCCAGACUCCUACGGGAGGCAGCAGUGGGGAAUAUUGGACAAUGGGCGAAAGCCUGAUCCAGCCAUGCCGCGUGUGUGAAGAAGGUCUUCGGAUUGUAAAGCGCUUUAAGUUGGGAGGAAGGGCAGUAAGUUAAUACCUUGCUGUUUUGACGUUACCAACAGAAUAAGCACCGGCUAACUUCGUG
This 483-nucleotide ribosomal RNA is filed under the name uncultured bacterium. RNAcentral's name for it is "partial 16S ribosomal RNA". It matches the Rfam family "Bacterial small subunit ribosomal RNA", at positions 30 to 507 of the family's 1533-position model. The record is from RNAcentral.